AUGGCUAGGUCACGUGAUUCUCGUUAUGUUUUCAACUCUGCGGUGUCUUUGUCGCUCCGUACGACAUUUGGCAGCGACCGUAUAGCCUUUAAAUAACUUAAUUUGGCUCACAGGUUUAUGGACCAUUUGUGUUGGGGCCGCAUAACAGCCAUAUCAGAUCUGAGCAGCGCUAGGAAGAACCUCAGCCAGUCGUGAAUCCUCUGUGCUCCGUCAACAUGAAGACGGGACUUCCCUACGAGAGGGUGGAGGACGUUCAGCGGAGAAGAGAAGAAUACAGCAGAGCACAGAUGUACUACAGGUGUGGGCUGGCCCUGGCCAGCGUGUCCGCCCUGCUGGUGCUAGCCGUGAUCCUCCAGAGCCUGAUGACCACCAGGGGGCCCUCCUCGUCCCCGGACCCAGUCCCCAGCCCCAGGUUCCCCGCGGCCCGCGGCCAGACCUGCUCCGACACCUGCAGGAUAGUUUUGGUGGAGAGCAUUCCGGAAGGUUUGGUGUACAACGGGAGCACUGCCAACCCUUCCAUCUACCAGGCAUGGCUCAACCUGAUUGGUGAAGCUCGCAGCAGCCUCGACAUCGCCUCUUUCUAUUGGACGCUCACCAACAAAGACACAGGCACCAAGGAGCCAACCGCCAAUCAGGGGGAGGACGUGCUCAAGAGACUGGGCGAGUUGUCCGGGAAGCUGCCCGUGCGCAUCGCCGUGGACUUACAAAAAGACAAGCACCCUGCCAACCUAAAGUUCCUCACCAGCGCCGGGGCCAUCAUCCGCUCGGUGAACAUGCGGGGGCUCACCAACGGGGUCCUCCACACCAAGUUCUGGAUCGUAGACAAGAAGCACAUCUUCAUCGGCAGUCCCAACAUGGACUGGCGCUCGCUUACACAGGUCAAAGAGCUGGGAGUGGUGGUUUAUAACUGCAGCUGCCUCGCAGAAGACCUGGGCAAGAUCUUCGAAGCCUAUUGGUUCCUGGGCCAGAGCGGUCAGGAAAUCCCCGCUACUUGGCCCAGCAAUUUCUCCACAGCCUACAACAAGGACACGCCCCUCCAGCUGCCACUCAACGACACACAGUCGGGUGUCUACCUAUCGAGCUCUCCUCCCUCCGUGUGCGCUGCGGGCCGGACCUCGGACCUGCAGGCUGUGCUGUCUGUGAUCCAGGACGCUGAGGAGUUUGUGAACAUCGCGGUCAUGAGCUACGUCCCCAUGAUGGAGUUCUCCCGUCCCAAGCAGUACUGGGCUGAAAUUGACACCCAGUUGAGACGAGCUGCGUUCCUAAAAGCGGCCAAUGCUGGACCAGCGCUCCAGGUGCGCCUGCUGAUCAGCGACUGGGCCCACUCGCAGCCAUUCAUGCCGCCCUUCCUCAAGUCCCUGGCGUCCAUCUACGACCCCAAGCACAAACUGGACAUCCAAGUGAGGCUGUUUGUGGUACCGGCCAACCCGUCACAGAAACUAAUCCCCUACGCUAGAGUCAACCACAACAAGUAUAUGGUGACCGACAAGAUAGCCUACAUCGGUAAGGCCACACCCUGCAUGUGGACCACCAUUAACAACACAUGAUAGCCUACAUCGGUGAGGCCACACCCUACAUGUGGACCACCAUUAACAACACAUGAUAGCCUACAUCGGUACAUCCAACUGGUCAGGUGACUACUUUGUGAACACAGCCGGCGUCGCCUUGGUGGUCAACCAGACUGCCUCGCAGACGGAGGAGCCCACUGUCCAAUCACAGCUCAAGGCUGUGUUUGACCGGGACUGGUACUCCGCCUACAGCACCCCGAUCGACCACCACUCCUUUUAAGGGCACGAUUUAGCGAUGUAUGUAUGUAGCGAUGUCUCACGAUGUUUAACACUGCAACAAUCAAAGUGCCAAGGAGCGAACACUGUUUUUCUUCCUAAUACGAAUUCAAACGCUUACAACCAUGUAAAGUUAGUUAGACUCAGAGACCUACCUGUCUUGUAGCAAUAGCUGCCCACAUCAGUAGGAUGUGCACACAUCUUUAUCGGAAGGACAUAGCCAAGUUAUCCAAGUACUACACUGUGGAAAGAAACCUAAUCGACUACCAGAUGAUAGUCCAAUCAAAAUCAAGAAGGGUGUAAGGAGGAAAUUUAGCUUUUGUAUUGGGAGUGAGCUAGACACUUGAGUUAAGGUGAGCGAAAUGUCUCAGAGCUCCUGUCCAAUGCACUAGUGUAGCCUUAAAUAUCCAUUAACACCCCACAAAGUUAUAUAAUGGUCGUUAUUGCUCUUUAUAGAUGUAAGCUGCAGCUUAACUCAAAGUGUUGACCGCAAACUCCCCCGUGAGCUGUUUCCAAGAUGAAAUCUUUGCCUUCUUCUUACCUUGACAACAAGGUGGACAAAAAAGCAAUGAGCUUUAUCAAGACGUGCAAACAGAAUCAACCUCCCCAGUAUUUCAUUCACUCAAAUUUAAAUUACUUUGUACUUUAAAUAAUGGAUCAUUAAUAUAAGCUGGGAUGAAUCCCCUUAUUUCAUCUCAUCUCAUGAAUCUUUUUUUAAAAUCUUUUUUAAGAUCUUUCCUUCAACUAGUUUAGAAAACUGUUUAGUUUUAAAUGGUGCGACUGUGGUGUUUAAAAUAAAGUUAUUUACCUCAAAGUAUUAUCUUUGACAUUACCUCUUCUGCAAACAUCGCCCCAGGUAAUCUCAGGGAGUAAUGAUUGAAUGAAUCAUAUGGUGUGUUUUCAGAAGUGCUUUGAAAUGCUGGAUUUAUUGUGAGAAAAUGUUAAUAACUAUUGGUACGCCAACUUAAAUAGCGCCAAUAGAAAAAAAAAAAAGAUGGGGUUCACUGAUAUUUUUAGAUUCCUUAUCAGAUCGAUGGGUUUUUAAACAUCUUUUUAGUUUACACCGGCUGCCUAUUUAAUGACUUAAAAAAGAUUUGUGUACAGACUUUUUCUUUGUAACACAAUGAAAUAAAUGAUUGAAGAUA
Gadus morhua (Atlantic cod) is the source of this 2929-nucleotide RNA transcript. It is a transcript of the gene named phospholipase D family member 3, with no coding region annotated. NCBI's taxonomy places the organism in Eukaryota, Metazoa, Chordata, Actinopteri, Gadiformes, Gadidae. The transcript has 12 exons. The record is from RefSeq and is a predicted model, not a curated record.